ACGGAGAAAGCUUUAUGCACCAUUGGAUGAGCCUGCACUUGAUUAGUUUGUUGGUGGGGUAAUGGCCUACCAAGACUUUGAUCAAUAGCUGAUUUGAGAGGAUGAUCAGCCACAUUGGGACUGAGACACGGCCCAAACUCCUACGGGAGGCAGCAGUGGGGAAUCUUGCACAAUGGAGGAAACUCUGAUGCAGCGAUGCCGCGUGAGUGAAGAAGGCCCUUGGGUUGUAAAGCUCUUUCGUCGGGGAAGAAAAUGACUGUACCCGAAUAAGAAGGUCCGGCUAACUUCGUGCCAGCAGCCGCGGUAAUACGAAGGGACCUAGCGUAGUUCGGAAUUACUGGGCUUAAAGAGUUCGUAGGUGGUUGAAAAAGUUGGUGGUGAAAUCCCAGAGCUUAACUCUGGAACUGCCAUCAAAACUUUUCAGCUAGAGUUUGAUAGAGGAAAGCAGAAUUUCUAGUGUAGAGGUGAAAUUCGUAGAUAUUAGAAAGAAUACCAAUUGCGAAGGCAGCUUUCUGGAUCAUUACUGACACUGAGGAACGAAAGCAUGGGUAGCGAAGAGGAUUAGAUACCCUCGUAGUCCAUGCCGUAAACGAUGUGUGUUAGACGUUGGAAAUUUAUUUUCAGUGUCGCAGCAAAAGCGAUAAACACACCGCCUGGGGAGUACGACCGCAAG
RNAcentral lists this ribosomal RNA (673 nucleotides) under Candidatus Pelagibacter sp. AAA795-D22. RNAcentral's name for it is "bacterial SSU rRNA". It matches the Rfam family "Bacterial small subunit ribosomal RNA", at positions 197 to 892 of the family's 1533-position model. The record is from RNAcentral. Lineage: Bacteria; Pseudomonadati; Pseudomonadota; Alphaproteobacteria; Candidatus Pelagibacterales; Candidatus Pelagibacteraceae.